AUCCCUACCGGCCAAACCCUCCCUAACCCGGACGACGCUAGGCCAAUUGUGUGUCGCCCCAUGGACCUCCCGGUCACGGCCAGCUGUGACAGAGCCUGGGCUCGAACCCAGAGUUUCUGGUGGAACAGCCACAGGUGGCCUUAGACCACUGCACCACCCGGGAGGCCCAUAAAACAUAUUUAUUGGGUACAAACAACCUUGUGUAGAGUAGGGAUUUGUUGUUGUUGAUUGAAUAAUGGUCAUAAAUGGGACUCACUAAUGCCUGGAUAUUAGGAUAGAUAUGGAUAUUAGCCACUGGUACUGGUGAGUGAAAUUAUGUCAGUAGGCACUUAUGUCAAGGUUGCUGAGGUGGUAAGUAUUUACUAUAGUCCAGCUGGCAAGACAGGUGUCUGGUUUUAACCUGCACAAUGUUUGACCUGACAUAGACACUGAUAGCAUUGUAAUUACUACAUUAUGAUCCGUUUUUAUCAAUCAAAUGAUAAAUGAAUAACAAUACCAUACUCGUUUGAAAUUCUUCAAUUGGCUCUCCUAUUCUUAAUAAUGUGUUUUUUUUCUCUCCUCCAAAACAUUCACUGCACAUUAAGAUGGUAUGGUUAAAACGCAUGCAUUUGAUUAGAUGGGGAGCUGCUGUUGUAGUGAUAUAUACCUGUCACCAGCAGAGGGCCAAUGAGGAGAGCAGAGUAUAUCCAGAAUCAGACACCGGUGACCUUUCUGUGAGGGGUGUUGCACGUGCAGGCACAGCAGAUCAAUGUCCCACCUCUGCUUCCAGUCAUGGCGUCUUACACUCAGCUUGCAGUGCCCCUUGUGGCGGGAGGUCAGGACUACAGUUACCACAACACAGACACUGCCUAUGCUCAGCUUCAGCAUCAGCGUCCUUCAGCCACGUUAGAGGCUGAUCAUUCUUCUGGCCCAGGCAUGGUG
Molecule: non-coding RNA, 921 nt
Organism: Oncorhynchus mykiss (rainbow trout)
Lineage: Eukaryota; Metazoa; Chordata; Actinopteri; Salmoniformes; Salmonidae
Source: RefSeq, a predicted model, not a curated record